GGGGGAGAUCUGGUUCUGCCCCAUAGCAAUCCCCUUCUGCCCCAUAGCGAUAUAGUUCUGCCCCAUGGUGAUCUGUUUCUGCCCCAUAGUGGGGGAGAGAUCCCGUUCUGACCUAUAGCAAUCCGGUUCUGCCCCAUAGCGAUCCCAUCCUGCCCCAUAGAGGGGGUUGGAGAACCCAGUUCUGCCCCAUAGAGGGGGGGGUUACCCCAUUUCUUCCCCAUAGAGGGGCUGGAGACUCCGUUUCUGCCCCAUAUUGGGGUGGGAGCUCUGGUUCUGCCCCAUAGACAGGUGAGAUACCACAUUUCUGCCCCAUAGCAGGUAUGGGAGCUCCAGUUCUGCCCCACAUUGGGGAUGGGAGACCCCAUUUCUGCCCCAUAGUGGGGAUGGAAGCCUCAGUUCUGCCCCACAUUGGGGCUGUAUCCUCUGCUAUGGGGCUGUGUCCCCUAUGGGGCCACAUCAUCCAUCUGUGGGGCUGUGUCCCCAGUAUGUGGGGCUGUGCCCCUCAUCUAUGGGGCUGUAUCCUUUACCUGUGGGGCCCUGCCCCCCAAGUGUGGGUCUGGGCCCCCCAAGUGUGGUUCCCUGCUCCCCAUCUAUGGGUCCCUGCCCCCCAAGUGUGGGUCUGGGCCCCCCAAGUGUAAGUCCCUGCCCCCCAAGUGUGGUUCCCUGCCCCCCAUCUCUCUAUAGGGCCCAGCCCCCCAAGUGUGGGUCUGGGCCCCCCCUGACCUCCUUCUCUCCUCAGCUUCCGGCCCACGCUGCCCCUGUCCGCGGUCGGGGUCGCUCUGGCCUUGGACAGCCCCGAGAGCCGGAGCCGCUUCCUGGGGUCUCUGCCUCUGUCCUACUGCGGCCCCGACGCCAUCGACUGCAAGCGGAGCCUGCUGGCGCUGACCCACAGCGACACAUAGAGACACAUAGAGACCCAUUGCUGCCCCAUAGCUGCCCCAUAGCGACAUGUGGGGCUGCCCCAUUGCUGACCCACAGCGACACAUAG
Molecule: long non-coding RNA, 988 nt
Filed under: Melopsittacus undulatus (budgerigar)
Lineage: Eukaryota; Metazoa; Chordata; Aves; Psittaciformes; Psittaculidae
Description: lncRNA (ENSMUNG00000018469.1)
Source: RNAcentral